Molecule: long non-coding RNA, 404 nt
Filed under: Phoenix dactylifera (date palm)
Lineage: Eukaryota; Viridiplantae; Streptophyta; Magnoliopsida; Arecales; Arecaceae
Description: long non-coding RNA (PDAC_LNC021121)
Source: RNAcentral
CCCAUAUCCACAACAGGAUCUAUGACUGUAACUAUACACUAAAUACAACAGAAGGUUUAUAAUACACCAAAAGGGGAUAAACCUCUAUCUAUAUUAUACUAUACUAUGGAGCGGCACAGCUAGCAGGCAACCACUAAUCCUGCUCCUCUCUAUACAAUAUCUGCCCUGCAAUCAAAAAUAUCAAACUGGGGAGUGAGUAUAUGAAUACUCAGUGAGUGGAGUAGAGAGUACUAUGCACAUGAGACAAGAUAUAAUCAUGGCUCGAGGUGAAAUCUCAAGAUCAAUAACAAGAUGAACAUGAUCUCAACAUAGAGAAUAUGGAGUAAAUCAUCAAUAUCACCACAAUCAAUAUCAACUCAUCUGAAGCAUAUAUGGAAUAAUCAAGUAAAUAUAUAUGCUACUCA